CGGGGAAUAUUGGACAAUGGGGGGAACCCUGAUCCAGCGACGCCGCGUGAGUGAAGAAGUAUUUCGGUAUGUAAAGCUCUAUCAGCAGGGAAGAAAAUGACGGUACCUGACUAAGAAGCCCCGGCUAACUACGUGCCAGCAGCCGCGGUAAUACGUAGGGGGCAAGCGUUAUCCGGAUUUACUGGGUGUAAAGGGAGCGCAGACGGCGAAGCAAGUCUGAAGUGAAAUGCAUGGGCUCAACCCAUGAAUUGCUUUGGAAACUGUUUGGCUUGAGUGUCGGAGGGGUAAGCGGAAUUCCUAGUGUAGCGGUGAAAUGCGUAGAUAUUAGGAGGAACACCGGAGGCGAAGGCGGCUUACUGGACGACAACUGACGUUGAGGCUCGAAGGCGUGGGGAGCAAACAGGAUUAGAUACCCUGGUAGUCCACGCAGUAAACGAUGAAUACUUGGUGUCGGGGAGGUAAACUCUUCGGUGCCGCAAGCAAACGCAUUAAGUAUUCCACCUGGGGAGUACGUUCGCAAGAAUG
RNAcentral lists this ribosomal RNA (525 nucleotides) under uncultured bacterium. Its description in RNAcentral is "bacterial SSU rRNA". It matches the Rfam family "Bacterial small subunit ribosomal RNA", at positions 355 to 896 of the family's 1533-position model. The record is from RNAcentral.